UGCACGCUGGCGGCGUGCCUAACACAUGCAAGUCGCGCGGCAGCGAGGGGUGCUUGCACCCUGUCGGCGAGCGGCGGACGGCUGAGUAACGCGUGGGAACGUGCCCCAAAGUGAGGAAUAACUGCCCGAAAGGGUAGCUAAUACCGCAUAUUAUCUUCGGAUCAAAGGAUUUAUCCGCUUUGGGAGCGGCUCGCGUCGGAUUAGGUAGUUGGUGAGGUAAUGGCUCACCAAGCCGACGAUCCGUAGCUGGUCUGAGAGGAUGACCAGCCAGACUGGAACUGAGACACGGUCCAGACUCCUACGGGAGGCAGCAGUGAGGAAUCUUCCACAAUGGGCGAAAGCCUGAUGGAGCAACGCCGCGUGCAGGACGAAGGCCUUCGGGUUGUAAACUGCUUUUAUAAGUGAGGAAUAUGACGGUAACUUAUGAAUAAGGAUCGGCUAACUACGUG
This 449-nucleotide ribosomal RNA is filed under the name uncultured bacterium. RNAcentral describes it as "partial 16S ribosomal RNA". It matches the Rfam family "Bacterial small subunit ribosomal RNA", at positions 30 to 507 of the family's 1533-position model. The record is from RNAcentral.